RNAcentral lists this ribosomal RNA (250 nucleotides) under uncultured bacterium. RNAcentral's name for it is "partial 16S ribosomal RNA". It matches the Rfam family "Bacterial small subunit ribosomal RNA", at positions 524 to 773 of the family's 1533-position model. The record is from RNAcentral.
UACGUAGGGUGCAAGCGUUAAUCGGAAUUACUGGGCGUAAAGCGUGCGCAGGCGGUUUUGUAAGACUGUCGUGAAAUCCCCGGGCUCAACCUGGGAAUGGCGAUGGUGACUGCAAGGCUAGAGUUUGGCAGAGGGGGGUAGAAUUCCACGUGUAGCAGUGAAAUGCGUAGAUAUGUGGAGGAACACCGAUGGCGAAGGCAGCCCCCUGGGUCAAAACUGACGCUCAUGCACGAAAGCGUGGGGAGCAAAC